RNAcentral lists this ribosomal RNA (356 nucleotides) under uncultured Methanosaeta sp. RNAcentral describes it as "bacterial SSU rRNA". It matches the Rfam family "Archaeal small subunit ribosomal RNA", at positions 983 to 1338 of the family's 1478-position model. The record is from RNAcentral. Lineage: Archaea; Methanobacteriati; Methanobacteriota; Methanomicrobia; Methanotrichales; Methanotrichaceae.
AGAGGUGGUGCAUGGCCGUCGUCAGUUCGUACUGUGAAGCAUCCUGUUAAGUCAGGCAACGAGCGAGACCCACGUCCACAGUUGCCAGCAUACCAUCCGGGGUGAUGGGUACACUGUGGAGACCGCCGCUGCUAAAGCGGAGGAAGGAGUGGGCAACGGUAGGUCAGUAUGCCCCGAAUCUCCCGGGCUACACGCGGGCUACAAUGGUUGGUACAAUGGGCAUCUACCCCGAAAGGGGAAGGAAAUCUCUUAAAGCCAAUCGUAGUUCGGAUUGAGGGCUGCAACUCGCCCUCAUGAAGCUGGAAUCCGUAGUAAUCGCGUUUCAACAGAACGCGGUGAAUACGUCCCUGCUCCUU